RNAcentral lists this ribosomal RNA (215 nucleotides) under uncultured archaeon. RNAcentral's name for it is "partial 16S ribosomal RNA". It matches the Rfam family "Archaeal small subunit ribosomal RNA", at positions 462 to 673 of the family's 1478-position model. The record is from RNAcentral.
UAGCCACGGUAAUACCAGCUCCCCCGAGUGGUCGGGGACGUUUAUUGGGCCUAAAAGCAUCCGUAGCCGGUCUUGUAGGUCUUCUGUUAAAACCCAACGGCCCAACCGUUGGACUGCAGAAGAUACCGCAGGACUAGGAGGCGGGAGAGGCGGACGGUACUCCAUGGGUAGGGGUAAAAUCCUUUGAUCCAUGGAAGACCACCAGUGGCGUAGAC